RNAcentral lists this ribosomal RNA (700 nucleotides) under Achromobacter anxifer. RNAcentral describes it as "bacterial SSU rRNA". It matches the Rfam family "Bacterial small subunit ribosomal RNA", at positions 81 to 777 of the family's 1533-position model. Lineage: Bacteria; Pseudomonadati; Pseudomonadota; Betaproteobacteria; Burkholderiales; Alcaligenaceae. The record is from RNAcentral.
CGGUCUGGUGGCGAGUGGCGAACGGGUGAGUAAUGUAUCGGAACGUGCCCAGUAGCGGGGGAUAACUACGCGAAAGCGUAGCUAAUACCGCAUACGCCCUACGGGGGAAAGCAGGGGAUCUUCGGACCUUGCACUAUUGGAGCGGCCGAUAUCGGAUUAGCUAGUUGGUGGGGUAACGGCCUACCAAGGCGACGAUCCGUAGCUGGUUUGAGAGGACGACCAGCCACACUGGGACUGAGACACGGCCCAGACUCCUACGGGAGGCAGCAGUGGGGAAUUUUGGACAAUGGGGGAAACCCUGAUCCAGCCAUCCCGCGUGUGCGAUGAAGGCCUUCGGGUUGUAAAGCACUUUUGGCAGGAAAGAAACGUCGCGGGCUAAUACCUCGCGAAACUGACGGUACCUGCAGAAUAAGCACCGGCUAACUACGUGCCAGCAGCCGCGGUAAUACGUAGGGUGCAAGCGUUAAUCGGAAUUACUGGGCGUAAAGCGUGCGCAGGCGGUUCGGAAAGAAAGAUGUGAAAUCCCAGAGCUUAACUUUGGAACUGCAUUUUUAACUACCGGGCUAGAGUGUGUCAGAGGGAGGUGGAAUUCCGCGUGUAGCAGUGAAAUGCGUAGAUAUGCGGAGGAACACCGAUGGCGAAGGCAGCCUCCUGGGAUAACACUGACGCUCAUGCACGAAAGCGUGGGGAGCAAACAGGA